GAUCAUUACCGAGUGUAGGGUUCCUAGCGAGCCCAACCUCCCACCCGUGUUUACUGUACCUUAGUUGCUUCGGCGGGCCCGCCAUUCAUGGCCGCCGGGGGCUCUCAGCCCCGGGCCCGCGCCCGCCGGAGACACCACGAACUCUGUCUGAUCUAGUGAAGUCUGAGUUGAUUGUAUCGCAAUCAGUUAAAACUUUCAACAAUGGAUCUCUUGGUUCCGGCAUCGAUGAAGAACGCAGCGAAAUGCGAUAACUAGUGUGAAUUGCAGAAUUCCGUGAAUCAUCGAGUCUUUGAACGCACAUUGCGCCCCCUGGUAUUCCGGGGGGCAUGCCUGUCCGAGCGUCAUUGCUGCCCAUCAAGCACGGCUUGUGUGUUGGGUCGUCGUCCCCUCUCCGGGGGGGACGGGCCCCAAAGGCAGCGGCGGCACCGCGUCCGAUCCUCGAGCGUAUGGGGCUUUGUCACCCGCUCUGUAGGCCCGGCCGGCGCUUGCCGAACGCAAAUCAUCUUUUUCCAGGUUGACCUCGGAUCAGGUAGGGAUACCCGCUGAACUUAAGCAUAU
Molecule: ribosomal RNA, 558 nt
Filed under: Aspergillus flavus
Lineage: Eukaryota; Fungi; Ascomycota; Eurotiomycetes; Eurotiales; Aspergillaceae
Description: eukaryotic LSU rRNA
Rfam family: 5.8S ribosomal RNA (bases 191-344)
Source: RNAcentral